Molecule: non-coding RNA, 99 nt
Organism: Ceratotherium simum simum (southern white rhinoceros)
Lineage: Eukaryota; Metazoa; Chordata; Mammalia; Perissodactyla; Rhinocerotidae
Source: RefSeq, a predicted model, not a curated record
UCUGAGUGAGUGAGGCAGGGGCCACGGGCCAGGGAAUGCGGGCACCUCGAGAAGCUGAAAAAGACGAGGGAACAGACUGUCCCUAGAGCCUCCAGAAGG